GCUACCGUGAAAGCCAGAACUUUCGGAGCACCUGCUGACAAACACACACUCACGCAGAGACACUGAGAGGAGGAGGGGGAAUUCUGGGAUACUGGAAGAAAGGAAGUAAAGCACCCUGAGAUUUAGUUACGAGCAACCUGAGAACUGUGGGGGAUGGAUGUGAGACGAGAGAGAGAGAGAGAGAGAGAGAGAUUAAAGGAGAGAAAGGAGUGUCUGACAAAUGGAUCGAGUAAGGGAAGAGAGCUAGGUUCUUCCUGAAGACCUAGCGUACAUCAUCUUCACCGAUCCGAAGGCGUUAAUGGUCGUGUGGAGAGAUGGGUGUGGAGUGUCAGGCUGGGAUUCUCAAAACUACGACAGCAUCAAAAGACAGGUUCAACUUUUUGGACAAGGACUCUUUCAUAUCAGUGGCGUCACUGACUUCAAAAGACUCUUCUAUGGCAUCACAAGAAGAAAAAAGUAGACGAGAUCAGUGCCAGCGAGGAUUUGGAAUUAGAUGACUCAAAUUUUCCUUUCUGAAGAUCCUCCUGGGUUGAUUAGCUCAGCGUGUGUGCGUGGGACUAAGCCACCAGGGCAGCAAGCGGGCCGAUAUAACGUCCCUUUAAACCCCAGAGCACAACUAACACAGAAAGACCCACAGCAGGACAAACACGCACUCACUUCGUGGCGGAAAACUCAUUCUAUACUAAACAGAUGAUAAAAAAUAAAAGAAAGAAAUGAAGAAAGGAAGCUCGUUUCCAAGUAGGUUACUUUUCACUUGACUCUGUCAGUAUUUAGUUUCAUUCCAGAAAGAGAGAAAGAGAAGAAGCAGAUCAUCCGAGAGUAAGUAUAGCAGAAGACACAGGAUUAUGAGGCUCACACAGAAUUUAUAUCAAAUGUCCCCCCAAAAAAACAGGUUUUUGAAGAGGUGACAAUGGAGUGAGGGAGAGAAUGAAUGAGUGAGCGAGUGAUAGCAGUGAAGUGAAAAACACCGAAAGAGAAAGCUGGAUCUGAGACGGCAGAUGGUUUGCUGAUAUUAAGAAUCUCUAGAGGUUUGGCGUGUGAGGAACGUGAGGAACGCUGACCACAUGCAGACCGAGAGUGUGUUUGAGGACAGACAAACCCUAAUACUGGGGAAGAUUCAGUUUGAUCCGCUUUAGAGACACCUAUUUUCAUAAAUGACGUUAAAAUGUAAUUUAUUCAUGCGAUGGGAAAGAUGGAUUUUCAGUGUCAUUACUCCAGUGUUUGGUGUCUCAUAAUCCUUCAGAAAUCAUUCUAAUAGCCGCUCGAGAAAUAUUAGCGAUAUUAUUAGCGAUAUUGUAAACG
Molecule: long non-coding RNA, 1302 nt
Organism: Puntigrus tetrazona (Sumatra barb)
Lineage: Eukaryota; Metazoa; Chordata; Actinopteri; Cypriniformes; Cyprinidae
Exons: 6
Source: RefSeq, a predicted model, not a curated record